GUUUAUGUGUAACUCCUAGCAAUUCCUUUCUCUCCUCCUCAAGAAAGCCCACAAAAGUCUAGUAAAACAGAUCCAUGGUCAGCUUGCAAGCCUCAAUGCCCCCAAACAGGUGAAUGGAUCAAGAAGAUAUGGUAUUUACACACAAUGGAAUACUAGACAGCAAUCAAAAAAGAUAAACUUAUGCCAUUUGCAGCAACAUGGAUGAAAUACAUCAGAAGGAUGAAGAUAAAUAUCAACUAUCACUUAUAAGGGGAAUAUAGGGAAACCAAACAAAGGAUCAGGAAAAACUCUACAGUCAUCACUACGGCAAGAGCAUAGCUGCUCUAAACUAGUUUGAGGCGUCAACACUUCAGCAACACUGCCUUCCAGCGGUGGGAAUACCUUCUUUUCUGGUGGUUACAAAUUUCCCAGGCCCCCCAGGAAGAGCUGGAAUGGUUGUUCCUCCACACCAUGGUCACAGUGGUGCUCACUUCCAGCCCACACCACAGGUUUUUGUACCACUUGUUAACUCUUGUCAUGAUUUCUAAAUUUAAUGAAACUCAUUUUGAGAGUUGGACAUCAAAAUCCUAUCUGGAGUUGAGUGUUGAGUUUAGGGCUUCCUGGUAUAAGAGGAAACAGGAAUCUUUUGGUUCAGUGGCACUUUUAAAAAGAAGUUUAAUUGAAGUCUGAAAUGUUGCAUAAAUGGAAGAUAUAAGUUUUAAUUGAAAAAUAAUUAUAACCACUUAAUCAUUUUUAAAUGAGGGCUGUAAUUGCAGUCAUCGCACAAUAGCCACAUACAGACACUGAGAUUUCCGCAAUAAAGCAGGGAUGGUACAGCUUGAUUUGCUAAUAGCACUUCCACUUCUCCUCCCUUUUGUCUCAAAGAUUAAUUCAGGCAAGGGCUAUUAGUGCUGUUAAUUGGUUCUGCAAUUUAGACCUUGUGCCUGUGAAUGAAUGACUGAUGCAGUCGCUCGGCCAAUAAAUGGGAACACUUCGUCAAUGCUCCCCAUUGUCCAGCAUGGUGCCAUCCUGGCCGCCCAGCCUCCCUCCCACCAACUCUGGGUAAAAAAAAGCCCAGCACCUCUUCUAAUUCACAGCUUAGGUGGGACUCACAGUAGGUCAACAAGAUGUCUUUGAAUGUGGCUGACAUAGUGUAUCUAAUAGAUAUUCACCUGGAGCUCUUCCUCUCACCAGAAGGAUUUUUUUGUGUGUUUGUGUUGAACCCUCCUCUCUGUUAGGAGAUGGUGAAGGAUUGGAGGCUGGGUAUUACCAAGCUUGGCAAAAGAAAGCACCAACUGUAACAUUUGCUUGAAGAUAAAUAUACCCCAAAGCUCAGUGAGCAAACCUUCUUUAAUUGCUGCAGUGCCUUCUUGGCAGGGGCACUGCACCCCAGGGAGGCUUUGGAGAGCUA
This is a long non-coding RNA of Talpa occidentalis (Iberian mole), 1390 nucleotides long. RefSeq lists it as uncharacterized. The record is from RefSeq and is a predicted model, not a curated record. The transcript has 3 exons. NCBI's taxonomy places the organism in Eukaryota, Metazoa, Chordata, Mammalia, Eulipotyphla, Talpidae.